GACGAACGCUGGCGGCGUGCUUAACACAUGCAAGUCGAACGGAAAGGCGCGGCUUUUGUGGGGUGCUCGAGUGGCGAACGGGGGAGUAACACGUGAGUAACCUGCCCUUGACUUUGGGAUAACUUCAGGAAACUGGGGCGAAUACAGGAGAGGAGCUCCUGCUGCGUGGUGGGGGUUGGAAAGUGUCGGCGGUUGGGGAUGGACUCGCGGCUUAUCAGCUUGUUGGUGGGGUAGUGGCUGACCAAGGCUUUGACGGGUAGCCGGCCUGAGAGGGUGACCGGCCACCUUGCUCCUGCGAUACGCCCCAGUCUCCUACGGUACGCAGCAGUCGGGAAUCUUGCACAAUGGCCGGAAGCCUGAUGCAGCAACCCCGCGUGCGUGAUGACCGCCUUCGGGUUGUAAACCGCUUUCGCCUGUGACGAAGCGUUAGUGACGGUACUUGGUCAAGAAGCACCGGCUAACUACGUG
Molecule: ribosomal RNA, 468 nt
Filed under: uncultured bacterium
Lineage: Bacteria
Description: partial 16S ribosomal RNA
Rfam family: Bacterial small subunit ribosomal RNA
Source: RNAcentral